UACGGAAGAUCCAAGCGUUAUCCGGAUUUAUUGGGUUUAAAGGGUGCGUAGGCGGCCUGUUAAGUCAGGGGUGAAAGACGGUAGCUCAACUAUCGCAGUGCCCUUGAUACUGAUGGGCUUGAAUGGACUAAAGGUAGGCGGAAUGAGACAAGUAGCGGUGAAAUGCAUAGAUAUGUCUCAGAACACCGAUUGCGAAGGCAGCUUACUAUGGUCUUAUUGACGCUGAGGCACGAAAGCGUGGGGAUCAAACAGG
RNAcentral lists this ribosomal RNA (253 nucleotides) under uncultured bacterium. RNAcentral's name for it is "partial 16S ribosomal RNA". It matches the Rfam family "Bacterial small subunit ribosomal RNA", at positions 524 to 776 of the family's 1533-position model. The record is from RNAcentral.